ACAAUUGCAUAAACGUAAGGUGUCUGCAGGUGAUACAUUUUUGUUCACUGUGCAGGUGAAAAGGGAAGCAGGUGCAAAUCCUGCGCGAUCUCGUCACCGUAUUUCACAAGUUUAGCCAAUAAGCCACUGGGCAUUGCCUGGGAAGGAUGUCUAAACGCCGCAUGAAACAUUUUUUUAACUGGUUAUAGCAUGCCGAAGUGAUAAGUCGGGAGACCUGCCUUUCGUAGUACAUGGGU
RNAcentral lists this non-coding RNA (236 nucleotides) under Butyrivibrio proteoclasticus. The record is from RNAcentral. RNAcentral also lists the same sequence under 1 other name. Lineage: Bacteria; Bacillati; Bacillota; Clostridia; Lachnospirales; Lachnospiraceae.